Molecule: ribosomal RNA, 542 nt
Filed under: Rhodotorula mucilaginosa
Lineage: Eukaryota; Fungi; Basidiomycota; Microbotryomycetes; Sporidiobolales; Sporidiobolaceae
Description: eukaryotic LSU rRNA
Rfam family: Eukaryotic large subunit ribosomal RNA
Source: RNAcentral
CGGGAGAGCUCGAAUUUAUAAUCUGGCACCUUCGGUGUCCGAGUUGUAAUCUCUAGAAAUGUUUUCCGCGUUGGACCGCACACAAGUCUGUUGGAAUACAGCGGCAUAGUGGUGAGACCCCCGUAUAUGGUGCGGACGCCCAGCGCUUUGUGAUACAUUUUCGAAGAGUCGAGUUGUUUGGGAAUGCAGCUCAAAUUGGGUGGUAAAUUCCAUCUAAAGCUAAAUAUUGGCGAGAGACCGAUAGCGAACAAGUACCGUGAGGGAAAGAUGAAAAGCACUUUGGAAAGAGAGUUAACAGUACGUGAAAUUGUUGGAAGGGAAACGCUUGAAGUCAGACUUGCUUGCCGAGCAAUCGGUUUGCAGGCCAGCAUCAGUUUUCCGGGAUGGAUAAUGGUAGAGAGAAGGUAGCAGUUUCGGCUGUGUUAUAGCUCUCUGCUGGAUACAUCUUGGGGGACUGAGGAACGCAGUGUGCCUUUUGGCGGGGGUUUCGACCUCUUCACACUUAGGAUGCUGGUGGAAUGGCUUUAAACGACCCGCCUUGA